Long non-coding RNA from Felis catus (domestic cat), 4923 nucleotides. RefSeq lists it as uncharacterized. The record is from RefSeq and is a predicted model, not a curated record. NCBI's taxonomy places the organism in Eukaryota, Metazoa, Chordata, Mammalia, Carnivora, Felidae. The transcript is spliced from 3 exons.
CCAAGAGACCAUAACACAGAGAGGGCAGGUAACUUGCCAGUGGUCUGCAGCUCAGAAGUGACCAGGCGGGCAGCUACAAAUCUAUCCUCCUUUUGCUACCUCCUUAAGCACCAUUGGCAACUGAAGGGGAAAGAGGUUGCAGAGAUUUGGGGGAGGUUAAGAAGGGGGUCUCUAAAGAUUUGAUGGGCUGGGAUGGGGGCAGCCUGUGGGGCCACCGUUCAGGGCAUGGAUAGAUCACGGAAAGUGUCUGGGGACAGAUGGAACAUUAUGAACACUAUGACCUCGCUGCCAUCGUCAGAGGGACAGUACUCGCCUGCUGAGAGAAUUCUAUGACUUGCCUCGUGGCACAUAACGGAUAAACAGCAGAGUCCGGAUGCAAACCCAGAUUACGUGGUUCCGAGUUCCAGGUCUUUCCGCUGCCCCGCGCCGCCCUCCUCAGCGGGCAUCUGGACUUCAGAGGAUCGUUCUGAUGAGGCCGAAAGAACAGCCAGGCUGGGAAUCCAAAGGCUUGGUGCAAGUUCUCAGCCAUGAGUCUGGCUUGGCCAUGUGUGGAACAAGCCAGGACCCUCAGCUAGAAUCCAGGGGUCAGAUGGUCCCUCCAGUCCCUUCAGUCUUGAUGCUUUGUGUGUCUUCAGGUGGGAAUCCCUGGGCACCACCCAGCCCUGCCAGGCCACACCUCCCCCACCUCUACCCCCUUAUAGAGAUAGCUGCUGUGGGGUAGAAGGGAGAGUAAUGGGCCUCAGCGGUCCUCAAAGCUCUGCCAGCCUCUACCCGACGCCAGCACGGGUUUGGAUUGGCCGUGUUGGGGUGGGAAGAGCAUGGUGAAGGAGCAAAGGGGGGUGGGAACGGUCACUAUCCCUGUGUGCGCCAGACAGGCAGUGGGUCUCGGGGCUGAGACAGAGCAUGAAGGGUCCCCUGCCCACAGGGAGCUCCCAAUCUGAUGGCAGAGACCAGAAUCUGUUCCACGGGAGCUCCCGGUCUUGGGGGGGGGGGGGGGCGGGAAGCCACCUGCCUGUGACGAACGCCCAGUCUGAUCAGGGCAACAGGUCGCACCCUGAAGAAAGGACAUCAUGCAUUCAGAGAGAUUUAAGCACUGAGCCCACAGAGCAGAGGGGAUGAAGUGGAUGUGGAAAGCAGACAGCUUAUCCAGGAAGGCAGAGGGGAGUGUCAGUGGCGCUGAGGGGAGUUGUGAGGAAGGGUCUACCAGAUGGCUGGGACUGGGAAAUCGGGACCCAGCACUCAGAGGUUUGGGAGAUGGGAUGGAUUUCUCCUGGAGGAAAGGGAUGGAGUCCUGCGGGGUCCUGACCAAGAAGAGUGGGUAUGGGGAGGCAGGAUGUGACCCUCCCUUGGUGACCCUGGAGAAGCCCUGGGCUGCUGGGGAGAGAGCCGCUGUCCAGGCCUUGGAGAGGCAGGGGCGAGGGCCCCAACCCUUUACACCCUUAGGGGAGGAAAAGGAGACUGACGCAUAGUGGGGAGGCCUGGAUGGGGGCCAACAGGCUUGGAUUCCAGCCCCCUGGGCAUCCCCAUUCGCAACGGGCCCUGGCAUGAAUCUCUGGCCCUCCUCUGGCCCCCUCCUCUGGCCCAAGGGAUCUGGACUGGAUGGCAUCAGAGGGCCCUCCCCGGACUGACCCUCUGUGCCCUCCCAUCAGGAGCCCCGUGGUGCCCCGUGUGCAGACACAUAUACAUCAAUUCGAGCACAGGGAUCACUGUGCCAGGCAACCCCUCCCUGGGCAGUAGGAGGGGACCUCAGGCAGGGGUACUGCGGCUGCUCCCCAUAGCUCUCCCACUCCCUCCUGGAGUGGCCCUGUCAGCCAAGAGAACUGAUGGCGAGCAGAGCAGGGCCAGGCACGGAUCUCUGCGCCCUGCCACCCAGCACUUGCCCUAAAAGUGGCCUCCACCUACAGACCUAUCCGGGAGGGGGGCGGGAGAAAGCCACAGCCAGUGGAAGGAGGCAAGUGAAGGGUCACCUAGGCACCCCCCCCCACCCUCCUUAUUAUUUACUCCCCACAACCACCUGCACAAGACAAAGUGGAGCCCACCCCAGGGAUGCACUUCAUCAGCGCUGACUGAGCUAGAACGCUGUUCUAGGCCCUCCUCCCUCUCACACUUUUGCCCACGGGGUCCUGCCUCUGCCCCUCUCCUCCCCGGUGCUCUGGUCCAGAUCCCAGUCCCUUGGUGGGAAGACUCUCUACCCAGGGAAGGGGUGGGCCCAGAGGAGGGGAGCUAGGCUGUGGUUGGCCCUCGGGUCGGGGACCACUUCCUCCAGGGAGGGAAGAGGGGAGGAGGGAGAGCGUAGACCACUCCAGCCGCUGCAGCUCAGCCAAGGAAACCUCCAGAGACGCCAGAGUCACGAGGCGACCCCUCCACCCCAGCAAACCAGGCUCCGGGAACAGACACAACAAAGCGCCAGAAGCAUCCGGUGAUUAGAGAACUGCCUUUGUCAAAAGAUGAGGAGCCAGGCUCUGGACGGACUCUCUACUGAUAUUCCUUGGAGCCAUUCUAAUACUAGGAGUGCAUCAUCUGUCACCAGCCCUGGGAGGAAUCCAUUCCAGUUGUGGAAGAAAACAAGACCCAGAGCGGUAGAACGAUUUGCCCCAAGGCCUAGAAUUUCACUGAUUCGAGUCCAGAAGGAGCCGGAUUCGGAUCUGGGUCUCCAGACCACUGUUCCUUCUUCCCAGCUGCCCCAUCCCCAGGCGGACCUGACCUUCGGCGUUUCCGUGAAAUGACUGCCCUGUGUCAAGUUUUAAGAUUGGGUAAGGCCACCAGGCCCAAAUGCAGGGCCUCAUAUCUCCUCUCCCUGACCACAACCUCAUCCUCUCUCUGUCUUCAGAGGCCCAGGGCGGGCCUCCAGCAGAGCGGGAGAGAAGGAGGAAUGUUCCUCUUGUCUCUCGCUCUCCCCUGGUCCCUAGAGCGGGGCUGAGGGAUAGGCCAGUGCUCUGUCAGCAGCCCCGGUCCAAGAUGGAUGUGGAACCUGGUAGGAUGGUGUCGGCAACACUUGGUGAGAUUCAUUUUCCCCGCUGCUAGGGGAGAAAAAUGUGGCCUCCGCGCCAUUUAUCUGCUCUGCAGCGAAGUGGUAAAACAGGCAAGCCUCUUGGAGAACAGCCUGGAGCGGAGCCCAGCUCAGCAGGCCUCCCACAGGGGCUGGAUGCUGGGAGAAAGCACUGGGACUCAUUUCCCCGGGGCGCCCACGACUGGAAGGACUCCCAGCUGUAGACCCACGGGGUGGGACCCUCGGGGGAGCCACACACACCCUUAGGAAGCAGAAGUUAGGAAGUCAGAUGGACCAUCUGGCCGCCGAGAUGGAUCCAGGAGAAAAAUGGCUGGGUGCCCCCUGUCCCUGAAGCCCUGCCUUUGCCUGUGCUGUCCCCCGCAUGGGGUGUUCUCUCCGCGUCCCUCCUGGGAAUACCUGGGGCCAGCCCACAAGUCACCUCCUCUGAGGAGCCUUCCCAGAUCCUAGCAGCUUUAUUUCCCACUGCUCUUGGCACAUAUCCUAUGAGCAAAUUUGGCUUUAAAUGGUUGAAUAAUUUUUAUCCCACUUCUGCUCCCCGCAACUGUAUCAUUUCUGAGCUUGGUCCUCCCGCGCUUCCCCUGUAGUGAAUUAUCUGUAUUCCAGGGCAGCCCAGGACUGGGCUAGAACAUGAGUAAAAUCAAAGUUCACUAUUUCCUUCCCAGGUCAAAGGCUGCCUCCUUCCUGGCAGGCUCUGUCAGAUGCCCUUGUCAAUUCUAUUGUGCUUCCGGGAAGGCAAGUAGACACGCUGAGUGGAGUUUGAUGCUUCCUUCUCCGGCCCUCCCUCUCCCUUCCGCACUCCCCGCCCCCAUCACUUCUUCUUAUACAACAGUCCCACAUCUGUUCUCCAUAAGCAUCAAAGUGCUUUCAUGCCCACCCUCCUGUCUUUGGGCCUUGCUUGCAAAGAAGAGUUGCUACUAUGAUUCCCAUUUAACAGAUGAGAAAACUGAGGCCAACACAUAGAGAAAUCUUGCCUGGAGUGACAAGAAACCAAAGCACACACGAGGACUAGAUUUAAUCUGAACCUUCAGAAGCAUUUCCUUUCCACAUUUUUCAAGUUCCCAGCCCCAGCAUGAGAUCCGCCCCUCCCCGCUUUGUCACCGGCUGGAACAGGGCUGGCUCCAGUGCUCUCUCUCUCUGCCUUCCCACCUGCUAGGGCUCACCAGCACCACUAGAACACCCUCCUACCUGGCUUCCACCGCAGCCUGUGACCUCCACACCCCUCAGUGAAGCUGUGCUAUGUCCCCUCCCCCUGCCCCACACAGGUGUCUUUUGGGGGAGCCAAGAUCGGCUGACCCAGGCGAAGGGUCCUCACAGGUUGCCAGCCCUAGGAACCUCGGUGGAAGCAGUCAGGGCAGCCCAAGCAUACACCACACAUCAGAGGCUUUGCUGGAGGCCCCUGGUCUCACUCUGCCUCCUCCCCACCCCCACCAGCCCCUUCACCCUGUGGUUCACAAGGAGAAAGGCAUGCAGGGAGGCUCAAGAAACCAGGAUUCUCUCACUCGGCACCCCUCUUUAGCAGAGAUCAUGCGGACAUGAAGAUGAACACAACCCGGCCCAGCCUCUAGAUCCAACCACACACGUGCCAUAGGGCAUGGGACAAGCCCUUCUCCCUCCCCCUCUGUUAAGCAAGAGGGCAGAAUCCGAGAGAUCUUGGGGUGGGGAGCAUGAACCCUUUAGAGAAACCAUGAACCCUCCCCAACCACACACACUUUUCUAAAAUAAAUUCCUCCUCAUACAAAAUUUCACCUGCCACUCCGUGGGGGUGGUGGACAGACCCCUGAGGACCCUCCUUAAAACUCCAUGGAAGCUAGGGGCACCUGGGUGGCUCGGUGGGUUGAGCAUGCGACUCGAUUUCAGCUCAGGUCAUGAGUUUGCGCCCCGCAUCGGGCUCUGUGCUGACAGCAUGGAGCCUG